Molecule: transfer RNA, 71 nt
Filed under: Candidatus Roizmanbacteria bacterium CG10_big_fil_rev_8_21_14_0_10_45_7
Lineage: Bacteria; Candidatus Roizmaniibacteriota
Description: tRNA-Gln
Rfam family: tRNA
About the family: Transfer RNA (tRNA) molecules are approximately 80 nucleotides in length. Their secondary structure includes four short double-helical elements and three loops (D, anti-codon, and T loops). Further hydrogen bonds mediate the characteristic L-shaped molecular structure. tRNAs have two regions of fundamental functional importance: the anti-codon, which is responsible for specific mRNA codon recognition, and the 3' end, to which the tRNAs corresponding amino acid is attached (by aminoacyl-tRNA synthetases). tRNAs cope with the degeneracy of the genetic code in two manners: having more than one tRNA (with a specific anti-codon) for a particular amino acid; and 'wobble' base-pairing, i.e. permitting non-standard base-pairing at the 3rd anti-codon position.
Source: RNAcentral
UGCGGGGUAGAUUAAAGGUAAAUCGAUGCGCUCUGGACGCAUAAAUCGGGGUUCAAGUCCCUGCCCCGCAG